This 219-nucleotide long non-coding RNA is filed under the name Panax ginseng (ginseng). Its description in RNAcentral is "long non-coding RNA (PGIN_LNC008126)". The record is from RNAcentral. Lineage: Eukaryota; Viridiplantae; Streptophyta; Magnoliopsida; Apiales; Araliaceae.
UGGGCUAGUUGAGCUCACCCUUUUCCUUUUUGUUCCAUUUUUCUUCUCAGGAGGCGAGAAUGUAGUGAGUACUAGUCGGGGUACGGAAUGAAGGUUCUAGGAAGUUGUUUUAGUAGUCCUCACCAUUUUUGUAAAGUAUUGUGUUAAUAAUUGUAAUGAGGACUUAGUUGGGUAUGUAUAUUGUCUAGAUGACAAUAUUUAUAUUUAAACUCACAGUUU